RNAcentral lists this ribosomal RNA (852 nucleotides) under uncultured bacterium. RNAcentral describes it as "bacterial SSU rRNA". It matches the Rfam family "Bacterial small subunit ribosomal RNA", at positions 8 to 908 of the family's 1533-position model. The record is from RNAcentral.
AGAGUUUGAUCAUGGCUCAGAACGUACGCUGGCGGCACGCCUUAUACAUGCAAGUCGAACGAAGUAGCAAUACUUAGUGGCAGACGGGUGAGUAACAUGUGGGUAUCUUCCCUUUGGUGAGGAAUAACACGAGGAAACUUGUGCUAAUACCUCAUAAGUCUUUACGGAGAAAGCUUUAUGCGCCAAUGGAUGAGCCCGCACUUGAUUAGUUUGUUGGUGGGGUAAUGGCCUACCAAGACUGUGAUCAAUAGCUGAUUUGAGAGGAUGAUCAGCCACAUUGGGACUGAGACACGGCCCAAACUCCUACGGGAGGCAGCAGUAAGGAAUCUUGCACAAUGGAGGAAACUCUGAUGCAGCGAUGCCGCGUGAGUGAAGAAGGCCUUUGGGUUGUAAAGCUCUUUCGUCGGGGAAGAAAAUGACUGUACCCGAAUAAGAAGGUCCGGCUAACUUCGUGCCAGCAGCCGCGGUAAUACGAAGGGACCUAGCGUAGUUCGGAAUUACUGGGCUUAAAGAGUUCGUAGGUGGUUAAAAAAGUUGGUAGUGAAAUCCCAGAGCUUAACUCUGGAACUGCUAUCAAAACUUUUUAGCUAGAGUAUGAUAGAGGAAAGCAGAAUUUCUAGUGUAGAGGUGAAAUUCGUAGAUAUUAGAAAGAAUACCAAUUGCGAAGGCAGCUUUCUGGAUCAUUACUGACACUGAGGAACGAAAGCAUGGGUAGCGAAGAGGAUUAGAUACCCUCGUAGUCCAUGCUGUAAACGAUGUGUGUUAGACGUUGGAAAUUUAUUUUCAGUGUCGCAGCGAAAGCGAUAAACACACCGCCUGGGGAGUACGACCGCAAGGUUAAAACUCAAAUGA